GACGAACGCUGGCGGCGUGCCUAAUACAUGCAAGUUGAGCGAUGAAGCUUGGUGCUUGCACCUCUUUGAAGAGCAGCGGACGGGUGAGUAACGCGUGGGGAAUCUGCCUUUGAGCGGGGGACAACAUUUGGAAACGAAUGCUAAUACCGCAUAACAACUUUAAACAUAAGUUUUAAGUUUGAAAGAUGCAAUUGCAUCACUCAAAGAUGAUCCCGCGUUGUAUUAGCUAGUUGGUGAGGUAAAGGCUCACCAAGGCGAUGAUACAUAGCCGACCUGAGAGGGUGAUCGGCCACAUUGGGACUGAGACACGGCCCAAACUCCUACGGGAGGCAGCAGUAGGGAAUCUUCGGCAAUAGACGAAAGGCUGACCGAGCAAAGCCGCGUGAGUGAAGAAGGUUGUCGGAUCGUAAAACUCUGUUGGUAGAGAAGAACGUUGGUGGGAGUGGAAAGCGCAUGAAGUGACGGUAACUACCCAGAAAGGGACGGCUAACUACGUG
Molecule: ribosomal RNA, 497 nt
Filed under: uncultured bacterium
Lineage: Bacteria
Description: partial 16S ribosomal RNA
Rfam family: Bacterial small subunit ribosomal RNA
Source: RNAcentral